This is a long non-coding RNA of Talpa occidentalis (Iberian mole), 293 nucleotides long. RefSeq lists it as uncharacterized. Lineage: Eukaryota; Metazoa; Chordata; Mammalia; Eulipotyphla; Talpidae. The record is from RefSeq and is a predicted model, not a curated record. The transcript is spliced from 3 exons.
CAGCCCACCCCUUUCUCUGCGGGGACGCUUCUCUUUAAGAGGCUGACAGCGCUCCAUCUUCCAUCAGCUGAGGAGCAGGCGGCAUUUUAUGUGGCUGGAGGAGAAGUCUGAACCAGCCAAGCAGUGACAUCAGCCAGGCUGCACCUGCUUCAGAGGAUGAGUGGUUUCCAUAUUGGAAAGGACCAUAAUUGAACAUUUCUGUUGUCAAACCGUUUAUUAAUGACACUGCUCAAGAUUAUUAAAAGAGGUGAUUUGGGGAAUGGCAAAAGCUAUCCUGAGGAUAAAAGCACCGC